Ficedula albicollis (Collared flycatcher) is the source of this 238-nucleotide long non-coding RNA. RefSeq lists it as uncharacterized. The transcript has 2 exons. Lineage: Eukaryota; Metazoa; Chordata; Aves; Passeriformes; Muscicapidae. The record is from RefSeq and is a predicted model, not a curated record.
CCCCGUGUCCCCAUCCCCAGGUUCAAGGAUUUCUAUGAGAUGGAGCCCCACAAGUUCCAGAACAAAACCAACGGCAUCACCCCGAGGCGCUGGCUGGUGAUGUGCAACCCCGGCCUGGCCGAGGUCAUCGCGCAGCGCAUCGGGGAGGAUUUCGUGUCCGACCUGGACCAGCUGCGGCGGCUGCGGGAUUUCGUGGACGACGAGAGUUUCAUCCGGGACGUGGCCAAGGUCAAACAGG